This 468-nucleotide ribosomal RNA is filed under the name uncultured bacterium. RNAcentral's name for it is "partial 16S ribosomal RNA". It matches the Rfam family "Bacterial small subunit ribosomal RNA", at positions 28 to 507 of the family's 1533-position model. The record is from RNAcentral.
GACGAACGCUGGCGGCGUGCUUAACACAUGCAAGUCGAACGGAAAGGCCCUGCUUUUGUGGGGUGCUUGAGUGGCGAACGGGGGAGUAACACGUGAGUAACCUGCCCCUGACUUUGGGAUAACUUCAGGAAACUGGGGCUAAUACCGGAUAGGAGCUCCUGCUGCAUGGUGGGGGUUGGAAAGUUUCGGCGGUUGGGGAUGGACUCGCGGCUUAUCAGCUUGUUGGUGGGGUAGUGGCUUACCAAGGCUUUGACGGGUAGCCGGCCUGAGAGGGUGACCGGCCACAUUGGGACUGAGAUACGGCCCAGACUCCUACGGGAGGCAGCAGUGGGGAAUAUUGCACAAUGGGCGGAAGCCUGAUGCAGCAACGCCGCGUGCGGGAUGACGGCCUUCGGGUUGUAAACCGCUUUCGCCUGUGACGAAGCGUGAGUGACGGUAAUGGGUAAAGAAGCACCGGCUAACUACGUG